RNAcentral lists this long non-coding RNA (8527 nucleotides) under Homo sapiens (human). RNAcentral describes it as "non-protein coding lnc-TM6SF2-1:4". The record is from RNAcentral. Lineage: Eukaryota; Metazoa; Chordata; Mammalia; Primates; Hominidae.
AACACGCAGGGCGGUCACGGCGGCCUGCCCAGGGCGCAGCGGGGUCGACCUUUGUGCGGGGCGGGUCCCUGGCAGCCUCGGCCCGGACUCGCCGCCAACGAGGAGCCGAGCGCCCUGGAGAACGCGUCGGGGCUGAGCCGGGGUCCAGCAGCCGCCGCUAUGGACAUCCCGCCGCUGGCCGGCAAGAUCGCGGCGCUGUCGCUGAGCGCCCUCCCGGUGUCCUACGCGCUCAACCACGUCUCGGCGCUCUCGCAGGAGAGCCAUACCUGCGCACAGCGCACGGAGUCUUCAUCUGCUACUGGGAUGGCACUGUUCACUACCUCCUCUACCUGGCCAUGGCCGGCGCCAUCUGCAGAAGGAAGAGAUACCGGAAUUUUGGACUCUACUGGCUGGGUUCCUUCGCCAUGAGCAUCCUGGUGUUCCUUACAGGAAACAUUCUUGAUGUCCAGCAGGGUUCUGGCAUGGCUGAUGCCCUCUCUCCUGCACCAUGGAAGGCAAAUACAGCUCCGAGAUCAGGCCUGCCUUCUUCCUCACCAUCCCCUACCUGCUGGUGCCAUGCUGGGCUGGCAUGAAGGUCUUCAGCCAGCCCCGGGCGCUAACCCGCUGCACCGCCAACAUGGUGCAAGAGGAACAAAGAAAGGGACUCCUGCAGCGUCCGGCUGACCUGGCCCUUGUCAUAUAUCUCAUCCUUGCUGGCUUCUUCACUCUGUUCCGGGGCCUGGUGGUGCUUGAUUGCCCCACAGAUGCCUGCUUUGUCUAUAUCUACCAGUAUGAGCCAUACCUGCGGGACCCUGUGGCCUACCCUAAGGUGCAGAUGCUGAUGUACAUGUUUUAUGUCCUGCCUUUCUGCGGCCUGGCUGCCUAUGCUCUCACCUUCCCUGGUUGCUCCUGGCUUCCAGACUGGGCCUUGGUGUUUGCUGGAGGCAUCGGCCAGGCACAGUUCUCGCACAUGGGGGCUUCCAUGCACCUGCGCACACCCUUCACCUACCGUGUGCCUGAGGACACCUGGGGCUGCUUCUUCGUGUGCAAUCUGCUGUAUGCGCUGGGCCCCCACCUGCUGGCCUACCGUUGCCUUCAGUGGCCCGCAUUCUUCCACCAGCCACCACCCUCCGACCCCCUAGCCCUCCACAAGAAGCAGCAUUGAGAGAGCUGUGGACUCAGGACCCAGGACUCUGUUUACGUGCCCAGUCAGCCCUACCUGGGGAAGCGGGGGUUGGGUGUUUUAGAGACAGGAGGGACAUCUCCGGGUGUCUUUAGUCUUGGCUAUGGUAGUUUCAGUCCAGUGGGUGGGAUGGAGACCAACGACCAAGUGUUCCUGCAAGGAGAGCCUCCCACAGCUGUCACCAUGCUCCAACUCCCACACAAACGCUUCUACCCCUUCCAGAACUUACCCAUCAUCCCCCCAUGGAUCCUUUCAGUAAAAACCCUUUCAAUUUCCAAAAUAUCACUGCCUAAGUGUUUCAGGGUGCAGGGGCAAGGGAUCCUCUUCUUGGCCCCCAUGAGGGCCCACCUAUCACUGCCAUCGUGGUUGCCAGGAGUGAGAGGUGCUGGGAUAGCAGAAGGCGGCCUCUGGUUGGUAUGCACGGCUCAUCUUCCAGAUGGGAAAACCGAGGCUCAGUAUGGACAAGAGACCUGCCCAAGGUCAUGGCCAGAGAGAAAAGUUCCUGCUCUACCAAUAAAUCAUAACUAAUAGCAUGAUACAUUUAUUAAGCACCUACUGUAUACCUUGACUGCUACAUGCUGGAUCUCACUCCAUAUUCCAGAUGGGGAAACCAAGGCUGCAGGAGGUGAAGGUCCUGGUCUGAGAUCAUUCCCCCGCUCAGUCCCCAAGGCAUGGCUGAGCUAAGAGAUGGAGCCCCAGCCUGUUGGACCACAGAAACCACAACUCUGCCUCUCCUAUCUGGUCGGGUUGGGCUCAUUUUAGGGGAAACUGAGUCCUGGAAGGAAGCCAAGGUGUUAGGAGAAAGACUCACUGUUUGCUAUUGUUUGAUUUUUUGAAAUUGGGUGAAAGGCCAGGUUUAGGGGCGACUUGGGCCUGGAGUAAGUCAGGGACCUUGACCAGAUGUCCCUUUUCCUUUUCUUUCUUUCUUUUUCUUUUUCUUUUUUUUUUUUUUUUUUGAGACGGAGUUUUCACUCUUGUUGCCCCGGCUGAUAUGCAAUGGCACGAUCUUGGCUCACCACAACCUCCACCUCCUGGGUUCAAGCAAUUCUCCUGCCUCAGCCCCCUGAGUAGCUGGGAUUACAGGCAUGUGCCACCACACCUGGCUAAUUUUGUAUUUUUAGUAGAGACAGAGUUUCUCCAUGUUGGUCAGGUUGGCCUCGCACUCCUGACCUCAGGUGAUCCUCCCAUCUUGGCCUCACAAAGUGCUGGGAUUACAGACGUGAGCCACCGCGCCCGGCCUAGAUGUCCCUUUUUCUUGCCCCUCCCAACCCCUACCGGAGAUCUACUGUAUGUCUAGCUACUGGAUCUUCACCAAAGAGUCAGCAGCAGGCUCAGAGAGGCCAACUGUCUCCUCCAAGGUCUCACAGCCAGUGAGGGGCAGACUUGAAUUGGGGCCUGUGGCUCCAGUCCACAGCAGAGUGUGACUAUCGUGAGGCCCCCACCCUGCACAGGGAGCGCCUUUGGGGUGCUGGAGACCAGGACUCCACUAUGACUACCCAAUGGACAGGUGGCCUGCAGGCCAAAUGAUCUCUUUCACCAGAUCCCCCAGGUCCCCUGCCAAAGCACAGUAACCAAGAUAGAAGACUCAGCCCCCUCCUCCAUUUCAAAGAUGGUUAAACUGAGGCUCAGAGAGGUUCUUCCCUGGCCUAAGUUCAGCUAGCAGGGUGAGGGAACUAGCUCUGCACUCCAAGUCCAGAGCGCUUCUUUCUCCGCCCGCGCUCCAGCCACUGCUCCAGGGGAGCGUGGGCCCCCGCGGCCCCUUUAAUACACCCCGCCUCGCCCGCCUUCCUCCUCCCCUUGCAGGCAGACGCCGGGAUUGCGCCGCCUGCAGGGACCUGCCCAGUCUUAACCGGGUGUGCGGGGAGCGCAGUCCGGGUGCGUAGGGGCCGCUCGGCGGGGGCCGCGCGGGCAAGAUGGUAAGUGGGGCUGCGGGCGCGGGUGGUGUGUGCCCCGUCUCCCCAAUCUUGGAUUCUAUAUCUCUCUGCCUCUGAAUCUAUAUCCCUCUGAGUUUCUUCUGUCUCUUCCUUUUCUCUGUCUCUCACCCUCUUUGAUCUCUCUUUUUGGCACUCUAGGUUCUCUCCCUCUCCAUUUCUCCCUGCCUCUCUCCAUCUCUGUCAUCCUCUCUGCCUUUUUCCUCUCCUCUCCGUUUCUGUCUUUCCCUGUCCCUAUCUCUCCCUCCUCUUCUCUGAGUCUCUCUGCCUCUGGCACUCUCCUGUCUCUCCCUCUCCCUUUCUGUCUCUCCCUCUCCCUCUCUGUCGCUCCCUCUGCCUCUCUGUCUCUCCCUCUGCCUCUCUGUCUCCCUCUGCCUCUCUGUCUCUCCCUCUCCAUCUGUGUCUCUCCCUCUCCAUCUCUGUCUCUUCCUCUGCCUCUCUCUCUCUCCCUCUGCUUCUCUGUCUCUUCCUCUCUGUCUCUCCCUUUCCAUCUCUGUCUUUCCCUCUCCAUCUCUGUAUCUUCCUCUGCCCCUCUGUCUCUCCCUCUGCCUCUCUGUCUCUCCCUCUCCAUCUCUGUCUCUCCCUCUACAUCUGUCUCUUCUUUUCCAUCUGUCUCUCCCUCUCCAUCUCUGCCUCUCUCUCUUCCCUUCCCCUUUUUCUGUGUCGCGCACUCUCUUCUCUGCCUCUCCCUGCCUUUCUCUCUGUCCCUGUUCUCUCCCCGCGUCUCUCCCUCUUUCUCUCCAGCUCUCCCCCCUCCCUGCCCGCCCCGGCCCGGUUUGCUGCAGUCUCCUGGCGCACGGAUAACCUUGCUGCCGCCGCUCCUCCAGCUCUUCCCCACCCCCCUAUCCCCGGCCCGGGCCAGGGCCAGAAGGGGGCGGGGCAGCGAGCCUCGGGUUUUGGGGUGGGGGGGAAUGAGGCGGGAUCUGGGGCAGGACUGAGGGCGGGGGGGAGUCUAGGGGCGUGGGUUCUUGCAGAAGCUAGGAUGUGAGGUCCCAAGAGGAGGAGGGGGAGUUCUCCAGGACCCCGGAAAGGGUGGGGACAUGGGCGUGAGAGAGGUCCUCGCUGUGGGGAAGGCAGGCCCGGGAGGGAGCCAGGCCUCCGAAAAGCCAAGGCUGGGAGGCUGGACUGAGCGCCCCGUGCCCGCCCCCCAGGUGUGCGCUCGGGCGGCCCUCGGUCCCGGCGCGCUCUGGGCCGCGGCCUGGGGCGUCCUGCUGCUCACAGCCCCUGCGGGGGCGCAGCGUGGCCGGAAGAAGGUCGUGCACGUGCUGGAGGGUGAGUCGGGCUCGGUAGUGGUACAGACAGCGCCUGGGCAGGUGGUAAGCCACCGUGGUGGCACCAUCGUCUUGCCCUGCCGCUACCACUAUGAGGCAGCCGCCCACGGUCACGACGGCGUCCGGCUCAAGUGGACAAAGGUGGUGGACCCGCUGGCCUUCACCGACGUCUUCGUGGCACUAGGCCCCCAGCACCGGGCAUUCGGCAGCUACCGUGGGCGGGCUGAGCUGCAGGGCGACGGGCCUGGGGAUGCCUCCCUGGUCCUCCGCAACGUCACGCUGCAAGACUACGGGCGCUAUGAGUGCGAAGUCACCAAUGAGCUGGAAGAUGACGCUGGCAUGGUCAAGCUGGACCUGGAAGGCGUGGUCUUUCCCUACCACCCCCGUGGAGGCCGAUACAAGCUGACCUUCGCGGAGGCGCAGCGCGCGUGCGCCGAGCAGGACGGCAUCCUGGCAUCUGCAGAACAGCUGCACGCGGCCUGGCGCGACGGCCUGGACUGGUGCAACGCGGGCUGGUUGCGCGACGGCUCAGUGCAAUACCCCGUGAACCGGCCCCGGGAGCCCUGCGGCGGCCUGGGGGGGACCGGGAGUGCAGGGGGCGGCGGUGAUGCCAACGGGGGCCUGCGCAACUACGGGUAUCGCCAUAACGCCGAGGAACGCUACGACGCCUUCUGCUUCACGUCCAACCUGCCGGGGCGCGUGUUCUUCCUGAAGCCGCUGCGACCUGUACCCUUCUCCGGAGCUGCGCGCGCGUGUGCUGCGCGUGGCGCGGCCGUGGCCAAGGUGGGGCAGCUGUUCGCCGCGUGGAAGCUGCAGCUGCUAGACCGCUGCACCGCGGGUUGGCUGGCCGAUGGCAGUGCGCGCUACCCCAUCGUGAACCCGCGAGCGCGCUGCGGAGGCCGCAGGCCUGGUGUGCGCAGCCUCGGCUUCCCGGACGCCACCCGACGGCUCUUCGGCGUCUACUGCUACCGCGCUCCAGGAGCACCGGACCCGGCACCUGGCGGCUGGGGCUGGGGCUGGGCGGGCGGCGGCGGCUGGGCAGGGGGCGCGCGCGAUCCUGCUGCCUGGACCCCUCUGCACGUCUAGGCUGGGAGUAGGCGGACAGCCAGGGCGCUUGACCACUGGUCUAGAGCCCUGUGGUCCCCUGGAGCCUGGCCACGCCCUUGAAGCCCUGGACACUGGCCACAUUCCCUGUGGUCCCUUACAAACUAACUGUGCCCCUGGGGUCCCUGAAGACUGGCUAGUCCUGGCAGAACAGUACUUUGGAGUUCCCUGGAGCCUGGCCAGCCCUCACCUCUUCUGGAUAGAGGAUUCCCCCAACUCCCCAACUUUCUCCAUGAGGGUCACGCCCCCUGAGGACCUCAGGAGGCCAGCAGAACCCGCAGGCUCCUGAAGACUGGCCACGCCUCCUGAGACCACUUGGAAACAGACCAACUGCCCCCGUGGUCGCCUGGUGGCUGGACCCCCGGGAUUGACUAGAGACCGGCCGUACACCUUCUGCAUCUCACUGGAGACUGAACACUAGUCCCUUGCGGUCACGUGGGACACUGGGCGCCUCCUCCUCCCCCUCCUCCUCACCUGGAGAGACUACAGGAACUUCAGGGUCACUCCCCGUGGUCACAUGGAGGUUGUGGGCCGAGGCGCUUAUUUUCCCUUAUGGUGACCUGAGUCCUGGAGACUCCCAUUCUCCCCCUCUCCCUGAGAGUCCCCUGCAGUUUCUGGGUAACAGGGCACACCCCUCUAGUUUCAUGGGCGAGCACCCCCAUCUGCCACCUCAGACUGACACACAGCCAGCUGGCUCACUUACUGGGGGCCACGUCCCACCCCUCAGAUAUUUCUUUGAAGGGAGAGCAAACCCACCCUGUCCUCUGACGUCCCUUUCCCAACUGUCACCAAACAGACCAUCUUCCCAGGCCUGGGGACCGGUAAGAUCCAUGUCACUAGUUAUGCAGAGCAGUUGCCUUGGGUCCCACUGUCACCAAGGCAACCAGUCCUGCUGCUACCUGUCACCUAGAGUCACACACCCCUUCCCUCAUCAGGCACACCCAUGAAGACAGUGCCUCCCUCCUCCAGCUGUAACCAUGGAUACCACACAUUUCUCAUCUCAUUGGCCCCCACCCCAGAGACCUCCACCUCAACUUCUGGCUGUCCCUACCCUGACUCACCGCCAUGGAGAUCACCCUCCCCGAAGCUGUCGCCAGGGUGACCCAACAUCCAGUUCUCCGGCUCUCACCAUGGAAACAAACUGUCCCUGUCCCCAGGCCCACUCCAGUUCCAGACCACCCUCCAUGCUCCACCCCCAGGCGGUUUGGACCCCACCACUGUUGCCAUGGUGACCAAACUCUGGAGUCCGAGGUAACAGAACACCUGUCCCCCUAGGCUUUUCCUUGUGGACAACGGGGCCCUGUUCACCAAGCUGUUGCCAUAGAGACUGUCAACGUUGUCCUCAUGACAACCAGACUUCCAGUUCUCAGGAACUUCUCAUUGUGGGCCAGAAGUCCUGGGUGCCUCCUACUAGGGCUACCCUACUGCACCCCAUCAGGGGCCUGAUGGCUGCCCCUUCCCCAGACAGGGCUGGACUUCUGGAGCUGCUAAGCCACCCUCCGUUUGCACGUUAACUCUAUGCCGGAUAGCAGCUGUGCACGAGACAAUCUUGCAACACCCGGGCAUGUUUGUCGUCGUCCUACAAAUGAGGAAACCGAGCCUAUGGCGUGCCCUGGUCUGUUGAGAUAUGCAAGCACUGAGCUCCUCUUUUGUCCUCUGAGACCCCAUCUCCAUUCUCACCCAGUUCCUCUCUCCUUCCCUGACCCCCACCCACAUUUCCCUCCUUAGAGAUCCAGGAGGGAUGGAAUGUUCUUUAAAAUUCAACACCCACCAGGCUCUAAGCGGCGAUCUGUGCUAAGAGGUCAGGACCCAGCCGAAGUCCUCGGCGUUGACAGGCAGCUGGGGGGACAUGAUCCAUGGACAAGGCCAUCCCGGCCGUGGGAGACCCCAGUCCCGAAGUCUUGCCUGCAGGAGUACUGGGGUCCCCCUGGGGCCCUCUUUACUGUCACGUCAUCUCUAGGAAACCUAUCUCUGAGUUUUGGGACCAGGUCGGUUUGGGUUUGAAUUCUGCCUCUUCUUGCUCACUGUGUGACCAAGUGACAAACUCCUUCUGAACCUGUGUUCUCCCACUGUACCAGGGCUGUUCUGUGGUCCCCGUGAGUGCCAAGCAUACAGUAGGGGCUCAAUAAAUCCUUGUUUCUUUUGAUGAAUGAGAAAAUGAGGCAGCCAGUGGGUAAUUCCUGUAUAAAUGCACUUUGGUAGAUAAGAUGUUACAAGCUUGGGGGGCUUGGGGUUUUUUUUGUUUUGUUUUUUUGAGAUGGAGUCCUGCCCUGUCGCCCAGGCUGGAGUGCAGUCGUGCAAUCUUGGCUCACUGCAACCUCUGCCUCCCGGGUUCAAGUGAUUCUCCUGCCUCAGCCUCCCGAGUAGCUGGGAUUACAGGUGCCUGCCACCACACCCGGCUAAUUUUUGUAUUUUUAGUAGAGACAGGGUUUCACCAUGUUGGCCAGGCUGGUCUUGAACUCCUGACCUCAGGUGAUCUACCCACCUCGGCCUCCCAAAGUGUUGGGGUUACAGGUGUGAGCCACUGCGCCUGGCCGGGCUUGAUUUUUAUUCUCUUUGGAAGUGGGGUCCUUCAUUCCUCCCCCACCUCCCCAAUCUCUUGCUCCUCUUUCUUCCCCCAUCCUGUGCCCACUGUCUCCCUUUAGCCACCCACCAUGGGUCUGCUCCUUGUCAACUCUGUCCUGACUGGGUCAUUGACAAGAUCCAGGGCAUGAAAUUCGGGAAACUGGAAGGGGGGUUCCUGUACCAGGAAGGGAGAGACAUUACAAACUUUCCCUGACAUGAAUAUGUGGGCUGAGGGCAGGGGCUGAGGAAGCACUGGAAGUUUCUAGGAUACAACAAAGCAUGAAGAGAAAAAAUAGUGUAAGGUCCUGACCGUGCACAGUGGAUCAUGCCUAUAAUCCCAGCACUUUAAGAGACCAAGGUGGGAGGAUUGCUUGAGCCAGAAGGUCGAGGCUGCAGUGAGCCAUGAUUGUACCACUGCACUCCAGCUUGGGCGACGGAGUGAGACCCUGUCUCAAAAAAUAAAAAUAAGUAAAUCUCCUCUUCCUCAUUCUUCU